GACGAACGCUGGCGGCGUGCUUAACACAUGCAAGUCGUACGGUAAGGCCCUUUCGGGGGUACACGAGUGGCGAACGGGUGAGUAACACGUGAGUAACCUGCCCACAACUUUGGGAUAACGCUAGGAAACUGGUGCUAAUACUGGAUAUGUGCCCCUGCUGCAUGGUGGGGGUUGGAAAGCUCCGGCGGUUGUGGAUGGACUCGCGGCCUAUCAGCUUGUUGGUGGGGUAGUGGCCUACCAAGGCGGCGACGGGGAGCCGGCCUGGGAGGGUGACCGGCCACAUCUGGACUGAGAUACGGCCCAGACUCCUACGGGAGGCAGCAGUGGGGAAUAUUGCACCAUGGGCGCAAGCCUGAUGCAGCAACGCCGCGUGCAGGAUGACGGCCUUCGGGUUGUAAACCGCUUUCAGCAGGGACGAAGCGUUUUGUGACGGUACCUGCAGAAGAAGCACCGGCUAACUACGUG
This 465-nucleotide ribosomal RNA is filed under the name uncultured bacterium. Its description in RNAcentral is "partial 16S ribosomal RNA". It matches the Rfam family "Bacterial small subunit ribosomal RNA", at positions 28 to 507 of the family's 1533-position model. The record is from RNAcentral.